AUCUGACAGAGGGCAUCUGUGCACUUUAUGGUGCACUCAUAAAGGGCUGAAACAAGUCAGGAAACCCUUGAUCUUGAGUAUGGUUCCAUGCUGAAUAAUGAUGGCAAAAGAUUUGUUGUACCUGUGGUUUGAGUAUUACUACCAAGUAUCUAAUGUGCAUAAUACUGCUUUUUACUUCUUCAGUAGUGUUCCACAGGAUACACACAAGUACACAAAUGCCCUCUGUUGGUCCUCCUCCUUAUUGCAUAACUCAAUUGAUGGUACAUGUGGCAGAAUCUUUUUUUCUGUGAUAUUUCACAGUCCAUAGGUGAUUAUUGGAGAUUUUCAAAAUAAGUUAUUUGUUUUUUACAGUUCUAUCCAAUUGUACCAAACUUAGC
RNAcentral lists this long non-coding RNA (377 nucleotides) under Androctonus crassicauda. The record is from RNAcentral. Lineage: Eukaryota; Metazoa; Arthropoda; Arachnida; Scorpiones; Buthidae.